Molecule: non-coding RNA, 811 nt
Filed under: Pan troglodytes (chimpanzee)
Lineage: Eukaryota; Metazoa; Chordata; Mammalia; Primates; Hominidae
Source: RNAcentral
CUCUGUGACUGGCUUGCUUGAUGGUUAGGGUCUGAUCGCUGCCUGAGACACCAUAUCGGUACUCCUCAGAGUUGAUGCAGAGUGUUCAUAUGAGGAGAGACUUUCCCUUGUCUCUGUCAUCUGUGAUUUCACUUCCCUGACAGAAGACGAAGCUUCCAUCUCAGAUGUUUUCUUAAAUGAUGAAACAGCAUACGCCUCUGUUCUUGUCAGCUCAGGGAAAACAGAUCUGGGGACCUCUUCAUCUCUGCGUUGGGAAGCAUAGGUGGUAUAAUCCCCUCCUGUCACGUCCAACGUUGCAUAGUCAGAAGCUUCGCCCUUGUAGUUGGUGCACACAGCACGGUGAUCACAGGAUCUGGUUUGCCACUGAAAGGAAUCUUGAUGCUGACCACUUCACCUCGGAGAGCAUGAACUGCUCCCAUGCCUUCAAGAGUUUUAGAUUUUCACAUUUCACACGAAACUCAUAUUCAAGACCUUCAAUAAGGUUUUUCACUGAAAAGACAGUUUCUCGAAUUUCUUCUGUUGUCACAGAAAUCCAUUUAUUCUGCUUCUUCUCACGCUUCUCAAGUGGGUAACCAGGAUGGAACUGCGGUGUUGCUUGCAGGAGAAGCUUACUACUGGUUUCUACUUCUCCAACCUCAUUGGUGGCUAUGCAGGCACUGUCUCCAGACUGUCUAUAUUCAACCCAGUAUCCAAGAAUUUCUUUACCACCAUCACAUUCAGGUUUCUCCCACUGUAGAGUGACACUAUCUUUGGAUAUUGAAAGAAUCUCAAGUUCUCCUGGUUGGCUUGGUUUAUCUGAAAUAUUUUAAAA